GCCAUCAGAUUCAAUCCAUGCCCAUAUUUCCUUGUUUCACAUGCUCACGUCCCUCUCAAAUCCCUCACCGGAGAACAAACCCCAUCGCACCGAAAAUCACUUCUGACGACAGGGCUCCACCAUUCCAUGAAAACCAAACACCAAAAAUAUCGUCCCACUCUCUUCUACUUCAAUCUAGCAUUGGUUUUUCCUAAAAACCUCUUAAGUCUCUAAAUCGAAGCCAAACAACUAUGACCCCUAGGUAGUGAAAACCAAAAUUAAACGAUACCAAGGAGGAAUCAAAGCCUAAAACUCCAGGGCUUUGAUUCCUCGUACCUAAUUCUACAUGGUGGCAACAAGGUCAAUGCAAAUUAAUAGAGAAAGAAGAAAUCUCACCUAUAAGGCGGAGAUUAGCCCCAGAGUUACAUAAAUUAAAGAAGAAGAUGAUGAAACAAGAACACCAGAGGCUCUGCAAUGAGAUAUGUAGGAAUGAGUUAUAACUAUGUAUGGUGUAUGAAUUACAAGGCUAGUAUAGAAUGCCUUGAUGUGAAACAAAGCUCGUGAAGGUCUUGGUAUGGAACAAGGCAUGGAGCAAGUUAUGGUAUUGUGAGGAUUUUUGAAGACUUGGAUGCAUAAAGAUGGAAUGGCUUAUAAAUGAAUAAAAAUUAGGGACUAGGGUUUAGGAUUAGAUAGUUGACAUUGAUCAACAGUUUGACCAAAAAGUCAAUAGUUGAUCGAAAAUCAACUAGAGGUCAAAAUGAUGUAAUUUUGUUUAGACUUUAAUUUUUUGGAUGUUGUAAUGAAAAGGAUAUCUUUUGGCAAUGGAAUGGCUUUUGUAUUAA
Long non-coding RNA from Lathyrus oleraceus (garden pea), 821 nucleotides. RefSeq lists it as uncharacterized. The record is from RefSeq and is a predicted model, not a curated record. The transcript has 2 exons. NCBI's taxonomy places the organism in Eukaryota, Viridiplantae, Streptophyta, Magnoliopsida, Fabales, Fabaceae.